This 468-nucleotide ribosomal RNA is filed under the name uncultured bacterium. RNAcentral describes it as "partial 16S ribosomal RNA". It matches the Rfam family "Bacterial small subunit ribosomal RNA", at positions 28 to 507 of the family's 1533-position model. The record is from RNAcentral.
GACGAACGCUGGCGGCGUGCUUAACACAUGUAAGUCGAACGGAAAGGCUCUGCUUUUGUGGGGUGCUCGCGUGGCGAACGGGUGCGUACCCCGUGAGUCACCUGCCCUUGCCUUUGGGAUAACUUCCGGAAACUGGGGCUAAUACCGGAUAGGAGCUUCCGCUGCAUGGUGGGGGUUGGAAAUUUUCGGCGGUUGGGGAUGGACUCGCGGGUUAUCAGCUUGUCGGUGGGGUGAUGGCUUACCAAGGCUUUGACGGGUAGCCGGCCUGAGAGGGUGACCUACCACAUGGGCACUGAGAUACUGCACAGACUCCUACGGGAGGCAGCAGUGGCAAAUAUUGCACAAUGGGCGGAAGCCUGAUGCAACAACGCCGCGUUCGGGAUGACGGCCUUCGGGUUGUAAACCUCUUUCGCCUGUCACGAAGCGUGGGUGACGGUAAUGGGUAAAGAGGCACGGGCUAACUACGUG